Pieris napi is the source of this 527-nucleotide long non-coding RNA. RefSeq lists it as uncharacterized. NCBI's taxonomy places the organism in Eukaryota, Metazoa, Arthropoda, Insecta, Lepidoptera, Pieridae. The record is from RefSeq and is a predicted model, not a curated record. The transcript is spliced from 3 exons.
GGUGAUGCGGAUUUUCAUUUCAGGACUUCGCAUAGCCCCCGAAGGCGUCGAGAGGACGGGUGACAUGUUCGGAAAGGGCAUCUACUUCGCCGACGUCGUCACAAAGUCCGCGCAAUACGCGUACACGACGCCCGACCACCCCGCCGCUGUGCUGCUCUUGUGCCGGGUGGCCCUCGGGAACAUGAAACGUUGUACCAGGAGGGAGCCGGUCACCGAGCUACCGCAAGGUACGAACUCAGUCUGGGGCGUGGGCCGCUUUCGGCCGGAUCCCGCCGCAGCGGAGAUUUUACCCGACGGCACGGAAGUCCCGCUGGGUGCCUUAGUACCUAACACGAGAGACGAUCCCGACGAACCUGUACUGAAUCACAACGAAUAUAUCGUUUACAACGAAGCGCAAGUAAAUAUAAAGUACUUGGUGCAUUACAAACAGUAUGAACUGUGAUAUUUUGGUGCUAUAUUUUCUUUUAAUGUAAUUUUAUGUUUCUAAAUUGACUGAUAGUAAUUACGUAAAUCGGAUUUUAAACCAA